RNAcentral lists this ribosomal RNA (253 nucleotides) under uncultured bacterium. Its description in RNAcentral is "partial 16S ribosomal RNA". It matches the Rfam family "Bacterial small subunit ribosomal RNA", at positions 524 to 776 of the family's 1533-position model. The record is from RNAcentral.
UACGGAGGUUGCAGGCGUUAAUCGGAAUUACUGGGCGUAAAGCGCACGCAGGCGGUCUGUCAAGUCGGAUGUGAAAUCCCCGGGCUCAACCUGGGAACUGCAUCCGAAACUGGCAGGCUUGAGUCUCGUAGAGGGGGGUAGAAUUCCAGGUGUAGCGGUGAAAUGCGUAGAGAUCUGGAGGAAUACCGGUGGCGAAGGCAGCCCCCUGGACGAAGACCGACGCUCAGGUGCGAAAGCGUGGGGAGCAAACAGG